RNAcentral lists this ribosomal RNA (440 nucleotides) under uncultured bacterium. Its description in RNAcentral is "partial 16S ribosomal RNA". It matches the Rfam family "Bacterial small subunit ribosomal RNA", at positions 338 to 795 of the family's 1533-position model. The record is from RNAcentral.
CCUACGGGAGGCAGCAGUGGGGGAUAUUGCACCAUGGGGGUAACCCUGAUGCAGCGACGCCGCGUGGGUGCAGAAGCGCCUCGGCGCGUAAAGCCCUGUCGGCAGGGAAGAAAAUGACGGUACCUGCAGAAGAAGCCCCGGCUAACUACGUGCCAGACGCCGCGGUACUACGUAGGGGGCAAGCGUUAUCCGGAUUUACUGGGUGUAAAGGGGGGGCAGACGGCGAUGCAAGCACGGAGUGACAGCCCGGGGCCCAACCCCGGGACUGCUGUUGGAACUGGGUGGCUGGAGUGCAGGGGGGGCAGGCGGAAUUCCUGGUGUAGCGGUGAAAUGCGUAGAUAUCAGGAGGAACACCGGUGGCGAAGGCGGCCUGCUGGACUGCAACUGACGUUGAGGCCCGAAGGCGUGGGGAGCAAACAGGAUUAGAUACCCCAGUAGUC